UACGAAGGGUGCAAGCGUUACUCGGAAUUACUGGGCGUAAAGCGUGCGUAGGCGGUUUGUUAAGUCCGUUGUGAAAGCCCUGGGCUCAACCUGGGAAUUGCAGUGGAUACUGGCGAGCUAGAGUGCGGUAGAGGAUGGUGGAAUUCCCGGUGUAGCGGUGAAAUGCGUAGAUAUCAUUUGGAACGCCAAAGGUGAAAACAGACAGCUGGGGAUGUGCUGACGCUGAGACACGAAAGCCAGGGGAGCGAACGGG
RNAcentral lists this ribosomal RNA (253 nucleotides) under uncultured bacterium. Its description in RNAcentral is "partial 16S ribosomal RNA". It matches the Rfam family "Bacterial small subunit ribosomal RNA", at positions 524 to 776 of the family's 1533-position model. The record is from RNAcentral.